RNAcentral lists this ribosomal RNA (710 nucleotides) under uncultured heterokont. Its description in RNAcentral is "SSU rRNA". It matches the Rfam family "Eukaryotic small subunit ribosomal RNA", at positions 458 to 1147 of the family's 1831-position model. The record is from RNAcentral.
AGGGAGGUAGUGACAAUAAAUAACAAUGCCGGGCUUCUACAAGUCUGGCAAUUGGAAUGAGAGAGACUUAAAUCCAUCAUCGAGGAUCAAUUGGAGGGCAAGUCUGGUGCCAGCAGCCGCGGUAAUUCCAGCUCCAAUAGCGUAUAUUAAAGUUGCUGCAGUUAAAAAGCUCGUAGUUGGAUUUGUGGCGCGGUCGUCCGGCGGGGCUUCCGGUUUCAUAGUAUCCCGGGGCCGUUUGUCUGGGUUUUUGGCCGCCCCAUUCUUCGGUUGCGUGUCGCUGGCAUUAGGUUGUCGGCUUCUUCGCGCCGAUCGUUUACUGUGAAAAAAUUAGAGUGUUCAAAGCAGGCUUAGGCCGUUGGAUACAUUAGCAUGGAAUAAUGAGAUAGGGCCACGGCGGUCUAUUUUGUUGGUUUGCACGUUGUGGUAAUGAUUAACAGGAACGGUUGGGGGUAUUCGUAUUCAAUUGUCAGAGGUGAAAUUCUUGGAUUUAUGGAAGACGAACUACUGCGAAAGCAUUUACCAAGGAUGUUUUCAUUAAUCAAGAACGAAAGUUAGGGGAUCGAAGAUGAUUAGAUACCAUCGUAGUCUUAACCAUAAACUAUGCCGACUAGGGAUUGGCGGUCGUUAACUUACAGGACUCCAUCAGCACCUUCCGAGAAAUCAAAGUCUUUGGGUUCCGGGGGGAGUAUGGUCGCAAGGCUGAAAUCCAU